CCUACGGGUGGCAGCAGUGGGGAAUCUUCCGCAAUGGGCGAAAGCCUGACGGAGCAACGCCGCGUGAUCGAAUGAAGGCCUUCGGGUUGUAAAGAUCUGUUGACAGGGACGAAUAAGCAAUGCGAAUAGUUUUGUGUAUGACGGUACCUGUUUAGAAAGCUCCGGCUAACUACGUGCCAGCAGCCGCGGUAAUACGUAGGGAGCAAGCGUUGUCCGGAAUUACUGGGCGUAAAGGGCGCGUAGGUGGGCGCUUAAAUCGGGUGUGAAAACGCCGGGCUCAACCUGGAGACUGCACUUGAAACUGGGUGUCUUGAGGGCAGGAGAGGAAAGUGGAAUUCCUAGUGUAGCGGUGAAAUGCGUAGAUAUUAGGAGGAACACCAGUGGCGAAGGCAGCUUACCAAACUACGACUGACGUUGAGGCACGAAAGCGUGGGGAGCAAACAGGAUUAGAUACCCGAGUAGUC
This 464-nucleotide ribosomal RNA is filed under the name uncultured bacterium. RNAcentral's name for it is "partial 16S ribosomal RNA". It matches the Rfam family "Bacterial small subunit ribosomal RNA", at positions 338 to 795 of the family's 1533-position model. The record is from RNAcentral.